Molecule: ribosomal RNA, 687 nt
Filed under: Triticum aestivum (bread wheat)
Lineage: Eukaryota; Viridiplantae; Streptophyta; Magnoliopsida; Poales; Poaceae
Description: partial small subunit ribosomal RNA
Source: RNAcentral
AUGGAGCUCGCGCCGUUGAAAGCACGGACGGGAAGGUGCAAGAAUAUUGGGGAAGAUGGCGAGAAGAUUGCGGGGAGUUUGCUAGCGAGAGGAAAGGAGAUACUGUAUUUGGCUAGGUUUUGGAUAUAUAUAAACACAAAAGGGCGGCGGCGGCCUGAGCUAUUCCACCGUCGCUUCAUCCUCCGGCCACUGGAAGGUAAAGAUUCAACUCCUCCACGCCGCUCGUACUUCUUCCUCCUCGCCAUCUCUCUGCGCGUGAACAAUUUGAGGUUCGGUAUCUUCUCCAUGUUGUUUCCUAACUAUGAAGAGGAAAUUAAUAAGAUGACCAUUCUCAUACGACAAGUUAAUGUGGGCCGGUCAUAUCUAGUGCCUGAAGAAGUAAAAGAGGACUGCUACCUACAGGCGACGGUUCUGAAGGAAGAGAAUGCCCGUAAGAGAAAGUCGGAUGAUGUGGGAUGGGAGUAUGGGAGUCUAGCCGAUGUUUCCAACAAGGACAAAGUGAAGUGUUUGUUUUGUAACCAUGUGAUCAUUGGAGGUGUUUAUCGUCACAAGCAGCAUGUGGCUCACGUUGGUAAUUUUGUGGCUAAAUGUAAGAAAAGCUCGCAGGAAGCUAAAGAUAGGUGCAAGAAAUCUCUUGAGGAGGCAUCUAAGAAGAGGAGGGAAAAGACUUCCCGUGAGCUAGAGCUC